AGUGCAUGUGGUGGAUGCCUUGGCAGUCAGAGGCGAUGAAAGACGUGAUAGCCUGCGAAAAGCUCCGGGGAGGCGGCAAAUAUCCUUUGAUCCGGAGAUGUCUGAAUGGGGGAACCCACCUACUUUAAGGUAGGUAUUGCAACAUGAAUACAUAGUGUUGCAAGGCGAACGAGGGGAAGUGAAACAUCUCAGUACCCUUAGGAAAAGAAAUCAAUUGAGAUUCCCUCAGUAGCGGCGAGCGAACGGGGAUCAGCCCAUUAAGUUAUGUGUGUUUUAGUGGAACGCUCUGGGAAGUGCGAACGUAGAGGGUGAUAUUCCCGUACACGAAAGGGCACACAUAAUGAUGACGAGUAGGGCGAGGCACGUGAAACCUUGUCUGAAUAUGGGGGGACCAUCCUCCAAGGCUAAAUACUCCUGACUGACCGAUAGUGAACCAGUACCGUGAGGGAAAGGCGAAAAGAACCCCUGUGAGGGGAGUGAAAUAGAUCCUGAAACCGCAUGCAUACAAGCAGUGGGAGCACCUUCGUGGUGUGACUGCGUACCUUUUGUAUAAUGGGUCAGCGACUUAUAUUCAGUAGCGAGGUUAACCGUAUAGGGGAGCCGUAGAGAAAUCGAGUCUUAAUAGGGCGUUUAGUUGCUGGGUAUAGACCCGAAACCAGGCGAUCUAUCCAUGAGCAGGUUGAAGGUUGGGUAACACUAACUGGAGGACCGAACCCACUGUCGUUGAAAAGCCAGGGGAUGACUUGUGGAUAGGGGUGAAAGGCUAAUCAAGCCUGGUGAUAGCUGGUUCUCCCCGAAAGCUAUUUAGGUAGCGCCUCGGACGAAUACCAUAGGGGGUAGAGCACUGUUUCGGCUAGGGGGUCAUCCCGACUUACCAAACCGAUGCAAACUCCGAAUACCUAUGAGUACUAUCCGGGAGACAGACUGCGGGUGCUAACGUCCGUAGUCAAGAGGAAAACAAUCCAGACCGCCAGCUAAGGCCCCAAAAUCAUAGUUAAGUGGGAAACGAUGUGGGAAGGCAUAGACAGCUAGGAGGUUGGCUUAGAAGCAGCCACCCUUUAAAGAAAGCGUAAUAGCUCACUAGUCGAGUCGGCCUGCGCGGAAGAUGUAACGGGGCUAAAACUAUGUGCCGAAGCUGCGGAUGUAUACUUUGUAUACGUGGUAGGGGAGCGUUCUGUAAGCCGAUGAAGGUGUGUUGAGAAGCAUGCUGGAGGUAUCAGAAGUGCGAAUGCUGACGUGAGUAACGACAAAACGGGUGAAAAACCCGUUCGCCGAAAGACCAAGGGUUCCAGUCCAACGUUAAUCGGGGCUGGGUGAGUCGACCCCUAAGGCGAGGCCGAAAGGCGUAGUCGAUGGGAAAAUGGUUAAUAUUCCAUUACUUCUGUGUAAUGCGAUGAGAGGACGGAGAAGGCUAAAUCAGCCUGGCGUUGGUUGUCCAGGUGAAAGGAUGUAGGCAUGUAUCUUAGGCAAAUCCGGGGUACUCUAUGCUGAGAUCUGAUAGCAAGCUGUACUUGUACAGCGAAGUGGUUGAUGCCAUGCUUCCAGGAAAAGUCUCUAAGCUUCAGUUACACAGGAAUCGUACCCGAAACCGACACAGGUGGUCAGGUCGAGUAGACCAAGGCGCUUGAGAGAACUCUGCUGAAGGAACUAGGCAAAAUGGUACCGUAACUUCGGGAGAAGGUACGCUGUUGUUGGUGAUGGAACUCGCUUCCUGAGCUGACGACAGCCGCAGAAACCAGGCCGCUGCAACUGUUUAUUAAAAACAUAGCACUCUGCAAACACGAAAGUGGACGUAUAGGGUGUGAUGCCUGCCCGGUGCUGGAAGGUUAAUUGAUGGGGUUAGCGUAAGCGAAGCUCUUGAUCGAAGCCCCAGUAAACGGCGGCCGUAACUAUAACGGUCCUAAGGUAGCGAAAUUCCUUGUCGGGUAAGUUCCGACCUGCACGAAUGGCAUAAUGAUGGCGGCGCUGUCUCCAGCAGAGGCUCAGUGAAAUCGAAAUCGCUGUGAAGAUGCAGUGUACCCGCGGCUAGACGGAAAGACCCCGUGAACCUUUACUGCAGCUUGACACUGAACUUUGACCUUACUUGUGUAGGAUAGGUGGGAGGCUUUGAAGCUGGAACGCUAGUUCCAGUGGAGCCGUCCUUGAAAUACCACCCUGGUAAUGUUGAGGUUCUAACUCUGUCCCGUGAUCCGGGACGAGGACCGUGUCUGGUGGGUAGUUUGACUGGGGCGGUCUCCUCCUAAAGAGUAACGGAGGAGUACGAAGGUGCGCUCAGCGUGGUCGGAAAUCACGCGUAGAGUAUAAAGGCAAAAGCGCGCUUAACUGCGAGACCCACAAGUCGAGCAGGUACGAAAGUAGGUCUUAGUGAUCCGGUGGUUCUGUAUGGAAGGGCCAUCGCUCAACGGAUAAAAGGUACUCCGGGGAUAACAGGCUGAUACCGCCCAAGAGUUCAUAUCGACGGCGGUGUUUGGCACCUCGAUGUCGGCUCAUCUCAUCCUGGGGCUGAAGCAGGUCCCAAGGGUAUGGCUGUUCGCCAUUUAAAGAGGUACGCGAGCUGGGUUUAGAACGUCGUGAGACAGUUCGGUCCCUAUCUACCGUGGGCGCUGGAAAUUUGAGAGGAUCUGCUCCUAGUACGAGAGGACCAGAGUGGACGAACCUCUGGUGUACCGGUUGUGACGCCAGUCGCAUCGCCGGGUAGCUAUGUUCGGAAGGGAUAACCGCUGAAAGCAUCUAAGCGGGAAGCCUACCUCAAGAUAAGAUUUCCCUAGGACUUUAUGUCCUCUAAAGAGCCGUUCGAGACUAGGACGUUGAUAGGUUGGAUGUGGAAGCAUAGUGAUAUGUGAAGCUGACCAAUACUAAUUGCUCGUGAGGCUUGACU
Molecule: ribosomal RNA, 2878 nt
Filed under: synthetic metagenome
Description: bacterial LSU rRNA
Rfam family: Bacterial large subunit ribosomal RNA
Source: RNAcentral